GUCGAAAUGAGUCAGCAGCCCGAAAGUGUUCGAGAAAUCACAGAUGUCCUGGAUGCUGUUGGCAACACUACGAAAGCUUCCACGAAAGGGUUCGCUAUUGGUUCUGCGGCACUUGCUUCUUUCCUGUUAUUUAGUGCGUAUAUGGACGAAGUCUCUUCAUUUGCUCAUGUCCCAUUUAAAGAGGUUGACAUAGCGAUCCCUGAGGUUUUUGUUGGUGGCUUGU
This 223-nucleotide unclassified non-coding RNA is filed under the name Hevea brasiliensis (rubber tree). Lineage: Eukaryota; Viridiplantae; Streptophyta; Magnoliopsida; Malpighiales; Euphorbiaceae. The record is from RNAcentral.